Solanum pennellii is the source of this 2065-nucleotide long non-coding RNA. RefSeq lists it as uncharacterized. The transcript has 2 exons. The record is from RefSeq and is a predicted model, not a curated record. NCBI's taxonomy places the organism in Eukaryota, Viridiplantae, Streptophyta, Magnoliopsida, Solanales, Solanaceae.
CCGACCCAACUCCUGCGUGUUUCUUCCUCUUCUUCACUGUUAACGUGAAAUUCGAACGGGAAACCCAGUCCAGCAACCCAGAAUUCCGUCCAAACCAGCUACAAAUCGAUCCAAUUCCGGUCGGGUCGUCCUCUCCUCUCGACGUGUCCAUAUCCGUACAAGGACCGCUCGAGAAUCGUUCGCGUGUCCCCGUCUCUUUUCUCCCUUGUCCUUGCUCGUAAUUGGACGGUUGGAAUGCUUUUCCAGUUGUAGAAUGGGAUAAGAAUGGUACUAUUUACAACUCCACAACCUUGGGAUUCAAAUUUCGAAUUUCUAACACUCCAAAUCUAUCUCGUUUUCCCCUAAAUCAAUUCGUUUUUUCAUCUAUAAAUAACCUCUUUAGCUUUCAUUGAAGGGGUUGGAGAAAUAAAUUGAACAAAAAAGAGGUAUGCAGUUAUUCAUAAUCUACCGAUAGAAAAUAUAACUUAAAAGAGUCACUCUUUCGGUUUCGCUUGCAUUUUUGUGGGGGGUUUUGUUGUUUGAAUCUGAGCUCCUGCAAUAGAAGAAUAGAGGAAGGUCGCUCCCCGCUCGUUCUCGUCUUAUCUCGCUGCUCCGGAGAAGUAACUUCACCUCCUCAUAAAUUAUGUUGUCACUCUAGUUAAGUUAAAUAUUAUUAUAUGUGGAUUUGGUUCAUCAUGUGGUGCGAUUUGAUGAUAUUGAUGACUGCAAUCUAUGGUCUGCUUUUCUUGAUGAAAGAUAUGGGUGUGUAUUGUUUUGAAGUGGUGAAACACGAGGCAGAAUCUCUAAAAAAUAAUCGAUGUGGAUGCGGUGUGCUGUUUCGCUCAUUAUUUGUGGAAUAUGACAAGUUGUUUUCUCCAUUUUGAAUCUCAUGGUUAUCAUAUCUUUCAGUAUGCCUAUUUGAAUUAAGUUCAUAUCUCCAUUUUGUCCAGAUUUUAGUAAAAAAAAUAAAAAUGCUUGCUAUUCGAUGUUGAUCUCUUAAAAUGUGAAGUACUUUCAAAAUGGAUGCUUGCUCCCCUCUUCUGCUUGUCUUGCUUGUUAAUCUGUUUUACAAUAUUGUUUGGCCGGCUUGGUGAUUGAUUGGAAGUAUUCAAUGUCUAUUUGUCGUUCUUAGCGUUAAAAUUGCAGCUUCAGUUUGGGUCACUUAAGUUUCUGCUAAUUGUCUAAUAUUUUGAGACUUAGAAAUCAAAUUUCCAGCAUGUUAUUUUGUUAGUUAAAUAGCAGUAAUCUCAUUUGUUUCAUUUAGUUUACAAAGAUUCCUAAAUAUAGGAUACAUGUUCCAUGGUUUGCGGAAUGAAUUGUAUUAUAGAUUGUAUAUUCUGUUUCUUUUCCUUCAAUUUUUUCCGCACAAUGUAUUGUUUGACAGUGAUUCAUGACUUAGUAUGAUUAUAACCUUUGGUCGGUGUUUGUCUCGUUUUAGUUAUUGCCAAUAUUUGUUGAUAUAAUUCGUAGAUAUUGAUUUAUAUGAAUGUUAAUUUUUUGUUCUCAUUUUGCUACAUGUGAACUUGUAUGGAGUCCGAGUUGGACAAGAAUUCAUUUGCCUUUGCAUUUCGGAUGGACUUAAAGGUCCACCACAUCCACUUUCUUCUCUUUCGAGUCAGCCUCAUUGCUAGUAGAGAAGCAGGUGAAUAGGUCGAAGGCAACAAAUAAAGAUGGAAACUUAAAUUACAGGUUAAAAUGCAGCAGCCAUGGGUCGAGGAAUAAAAGAGGGGUCAGGAACUGAAAAUGCAGGUCGUAAUAGCUCAAAAGAAGGCUUCAUACCUUCGAUAUGCUGCCCGUAUACAUCUAUAUACAACCAUGUAUACGCACCUUGAUUAGGCCUAAUUUCAUUUGGUCAUUUUGAUUCCAACAGGCCCAAUCAGGUAAAGACAAAUGAGCUGAAACCAAUCAAUUUAGAUUAGGACAGGUGAAGGAAGUUGGGCCUGUCAGCCCAGCAACUUAAAAAUUUGGGGAACAGCACAAGUUAUUACACUACUUUCCUUUCUUAUUAUAUUUGAUUAUCUCUUGCUCAACUAAUUUUAUUUGAUUUUGGUUUUGAUAUAAUUAGAUCUCCAAAAGUUAGUCACUU